GUAGGGAAUAUUGGACAAUGGGGGCAACCCUGAUCCAGCCAUGCCGCGUGAGUGAAGAAGGCCCUCGGGUUGUAAAGCUCUUUUGUCCGGAAAGAAAAGCUUCGGGUUAAUACCCCGGGGUUCUGACGGUACCGGAAGAAUAAGCACCGGCUAACUUCGUGCCAGCAGCCGCGGUAAUACGAAGGGUGCAAGCGUUACUCGGAAUUACUGGGCGUAAAGCGUGCGUAGGUGGUUGUUUAAGUCUGAUGUGAAAGCCCUGGGCUCAACCUGGGAAUGGCAUUGGAAACUGGGCAGCUAGAGUGCGGUAGAGGGUAGUGGAAUUCCCGGUGUAGCAGUGAAAUGCGUAGAGAUCGGGAGGAACAUCUGUGGCGAAGGCGACUGCCUGGACCAGCACUGACACUGAGGCACAAAAGCGUGGGGAGCAAAC
Molecule: ribosomal RNA, 427 nt
Filed under: uncultured bacterium
Lineage: Bacteria
Description: bacterial SSU rRNA
Rfam family: Bacterial small subunit ribosomal RNA
Source: RNAcentral